AUUGAACGCUGGCGGCAGGCCUAACACAUGCAAGUCGAGCGGAUGAAGGGAGCUUGCUCCUGGAUUCAGCGGCGGACGGGUGAGUAAUGCCUAGGAAUCUGCCUGGUAGUGGGGGAUAACGUCCGGAAACGGGCGCUAAUACCGCAUACGUCCUGAGGGAGAAAGUGGGGGAUCUUCGGACCUCACGCUAUCAGAUGAGCCUAGGUCGGAUUAGCUAGUUGGUGGGGUAAAGGCCUACCAAGGCGACGAUCCGUAACUGGUCUGAGAGGAUGAUCAGUCACACUGGAACUUGGACACGGUCCAGACUACUACGGGAGGCAGCAGUGGGGAAUAUUGGACAAUGGGCGAAAGCCUGAUCCAGCCAUGCCGCGUGUGUGAAGAAGGUCUUCGGAUUGUAAAGCACUUUAAGUUGGGAGGAAGGGCAGUAAGUUAAUACCUUGCUGUUUUGACGUUACCAACAGAAUAAGCACCGGCUAACUUCGUG
RNAcentral lists this ribosomal RNA (484 nucleotides) under uncultured bacterium. RNAcentral's name for it is "partial 16S ribosomal RNA". It matches the Rfam family "Bacterial small subunit ribosomal RNA", at positions 30 to 507 of the family's 1533-position model. The record is from RNAcentral.